GCUCACUGGUCUAGUGAUUCCGCGCCGACAAUGUAGCGGGGCUCAAGCGUACCGCCGAAGUCGUGUCAUUCCAGAACAUAGGGCCAACGCCUUCUGGGAUGGGUAGGGGAGCGUCGUGUGCCGGGUGAAGCCGCGCCGGAAGGCAGUGGUGGACGGUUCACGAGUGAGAAUGCAGGCAUGAGUAGCGAUUCACACGUGAGAAACGUGUGCGCCGAUUGACUAAGGGUUCCUGGGUCAAGCUGAUCUGCCCAGGGUAAGUCGGGA
RNAcentral lists this ribosomal RNA (264 nucleotides) under Xylella fastidiosa subsp. multiplex. RNAcentral's name for it is "partial 23S ribosomal RNA". It matches the Rfam family "Bacterial large subunit ribosomal RNA", at positions 1140 to 1389 of the family's 2925-position model. The record is from RNAcentral. Lineage: Bacteria; Pseudomonadati; Pseudomonadota; Gammaproteobacteria; Lysobacterales; Lysobacteraceae.